ACGCCCCCACGUGAUCCCGCAGUACUACAGCCGCAAUUUCAUUGGCCACCUCAACCUGCGCCACUGCUACUACAUGGAUGAUAUGACUAACAUCAACCAGACUGAUGAGAUGAACAUUCAGUGUGCAAGUUCUAGCAUCAUAUAGGGAAAAUAUUUAGGUCUUGUUUACAUUGUAACCACAACAGAGUUUUAAUGUUUUUGUUGUUGUUGUUGUUGUUUUUCUGAACGACAUAAAAAAAAACUGCUUGGGAAGAAGAUUCUGAACAACAAGGACAUAAACAACUGCGAAAUCGAUAAAAGAUAUGGUAUAUCAAAGAUGUGAUACAUGAAGAAAAUUGACGAAUUUACCAAUGUUAUGUGAAAUAUAAUGCUGUAUGUGGUUGGAAAUGUUUUGAUUGAAAUGCUUUUAAAGUAACAGAAAGUAA
Long non-coding RNA from Cyprinus carpio (common carp), 425 nucleotides. RefSeq lists it as uncharacterized. The record is from RefSeq and is a predicted model, not a curated record. The transcript has 2 exons. Lineage: Eukaryota; Metazoa; Chordata; Actinopteri; Cypriniformes; Cyprinidae.